CAUGUAUGACUUUCUCCUACGCCGCUACACAAAGACGUGUUUUAUGCCACUCCUUCCUUGUCUCAUUUUGUCCACUAAACGUUUUUGUGGACAAAACGCACAAAGAAAUCCUUUUUCAUUUCAGUGUAAAUGUCCAGACAUGCCUGAUGAGGACGAUGACAGAAGGUGUCUGGGCCAUGGCUCCCACCAGGCUGCACACGCAGAUGACGCACAGGAAGAUGAGAAAGGUCUCCUGGCAGCCAGCCGUCGGACAUUUUCCUGGAACAGCUGUGGCUAACUCGCUGUCAGCAGAUAUACACGAACAUCCACUCAGGUUCUGCGGAGGCAAAAAAAAAAAAAAAAAGGCCAAUUACAGGUACCUGAGCGAGGUUGUGGGUGCAGCCGGCGAAGCAGCCCGACAGGUAGGUGACGCCGUUGGAGCCGCAUACGGGACUGAUGGAGGAGGUGAAGCAGUUGCAGUGAUUGAAGCACGGAGCUUCUGGUUUGUCGCCCACCUGCAGAGUACUUCAACACACACAAGCAUUUGCACCGCGCACCCCUGAGUUGCUGACAGCAGGUGGGGCUGUUGGCCAGCUCGUGGUUGCUCAUGGCACCGUUGCUGGUCUUUGGAGCCUCAUAGUCUGGACUCAAAGGAGCAGCAGGAGGAAGCAUGGUCUGCUCACUGUCCGGCCCCUCC
This is a non-coding RNA of Nerophis lumbriciformis (worm pipefish), 676 nucleotides long. The record is from RefSeq and is a predicted model, not a curated record. NCBI's taxonomy places the organism in Eukaryota, Metazoa, Chordata, Actinopteri, Syngnathiformes, Syngnathidae.